Molecule: non-coding RNA, 222 nt
Organism: Cinara cedri
Lineage: Eukaryota; Metazoa; Arthropoda; Insecta; Hemiptera; Aphididae
Source: the annotation of a GenBank genome assembly
UAUUUUUGAAAUUUAAAAGUAUAGCAGUGCGAAUGUGAUGGUUUUACUAUAUUAUCAUAGGUAAUGCGUUUUUCUCGUACUUCUUCAUUCCUGUAAACUAGUUUUUGCGAUAAUUGGGGAAAACGUUUACGCAAGAAAAUUUACGCAAUAACGGUUUCGGUUAUUCUCGAUUUCGAUUCGGUUUCACCGUAUACAUUAUAUUAUAUUAUCCCAGAAAUUCGU